Molecule: long non-coding RNA, 1506 nt
Filed under: Eucalyptus grandis
Lineage: Eukaryota; Viridiplantae; Streptophyta; Magnoliopsida; Myrtales; Myrtaceae
Description: long non-coding RNA (EGRA_LNC000031)
Source: RNAcentral
GAGAGAGAGAGAGAGAGAGAUGAAUUUCGAGGUCCAGUUUGAGGUUUAAAAUUUGCUCCUUGGGCAAGCAGAGGGACAAAUCUAAUUAUAGCCAAAGCAAUAACCUGCCGCUAAUGUCAGCAACUAGGCUGAUGAUGAUUAGGCAUAGUUCACCAUUUAGAACUGUAUAUAUGUCAUAUGAGCAUAAUAAAAGCAAAUCUGUCCUCACGGUUAUCGCCAACAUCUAAAUGAUGGGUUUAUCAUGAAGUAUUUUGUUAUAUCCUGACUUUAAUAGAGCUAUGACGUGCAACUAUUGGACUUCUAUUCACACACUUAUUCCAUCUUUGGAAUUCAAAACAAUGAAGCCCAACUCAAAUAGAAUCUGAUACAAUAAGUAAACCCAUAGCAUCGACAAGCCGGUGAUGAUGAGGAAUUAUUGAUCCCAAGAAUGGAUGGGCAUGAGGAACAUAAAUGGACAAUAAAGAAGUAUCAGGAAGUUGGGAUCAGACUGACGUGCAAAAAAUGUACUCAGCAACGCUGCUGCCUUAGAUAAUUACAUUGUGGUGGCAUCAUAUCCCAGACUUUGAACUGGUACAAAACAAGAAAGCCAGAAAAAUCCAGAGGGAAGAUAAUGUGGGUGAUCAAAAUAAUAUUUCAGAAUAACGGAAACAACUUAAGAUCAGGUAGAUCAAAAAGUUCACAAGCAUAUCCCAAGAACAGGGAGAAAGAAGAAAAAUGGAUGGGCAUGGGGAGAAUAAAUGGUAAACAAAGAAGCACCAGGAAGUUGCGAUCAGACUGACGUGCAAAAAAUGUACUCAGCAAUGCUGCUGCCUUAGAUAAUUACAUUAUGGUGGCAUCAUAUCCCAAAGUUUGAACUGGCACAAAAUAAGAAAACCACAAAAACCAGAGGGAAGAUAAUGCGGGUGCUCGAAAAAAUAUUUCGGAAUAAAAGAAACAACUUAAGAUCAGGUAGAUCAAAAAAGUUCACAAGCAUAUCCCAAGAAUGGGGAGAAAGAAGAAAAUGAAUGGGCAUGAGGACCGUAAAUAGAAAACUAAAAAGUACCAGGAAGUUGGGAUCAGACUGACGUGCAAAAAAUGUACUCAGCAACGCUGCUGCCUUAGAUAAUUACAUUGUGGUGGCAUCAUAUCCCAGACUUUGAACUGGUACAAAACAAGAAAGCCAGAAAAAUCCAGAGGGAAGAUAAUGUGGGUGCUCAAAAAGAUAUUUUGGAAUAACGGAAACAACUUAAGAUCAGGUAGAUCAAAAGAAGUCACAAGCAUAUCCCAAGAACAGGGAGAAAGAAGAAAAAUGGAUAGGCAUGAGGAGACUAAAUGGUAAACAAAGAAGCACCAGGAAGUUGUGAUCAGACUGACGUGCAAAAAAUGUACUCAGCAAUGCUGCUGCCUUAGAUAAUUACAUUAUGGUGGCAUCAUAUCCCAAAGUUUGAACUGGCACAAAAUAAGAAAACCACAAAAACCAGAGGGAAGAUAAUGCGGGUGCUCGAAAAAAUAUUUCGGAACAAAAGA